RNAcentral lists this ribosomal RNA (585 nucleotides) under Cystobasidium slooffiae. Its description in RNAcentral is "eukaryotic LSU rRNA". The stretch from base 167 to 320 matches the Rfam family "5.8S ribosomal RNA". Lineage: Eukaryota; Fungi; Basidiomycota; Cystobasidiomycetes; Cystobasidiales; Cystobasidiaceae. The record is from RNAcentral.
UCCGUAGGUGAACUGCGGAAGGAUCAUUAAUGAAUUUUAGGACGUUCUUUUUAGAGUCCGACCCUUUCAUUUUCUUACACUGUGCACACACUUCUUUUUUACACACACUUUUAACACCUUAGUAUAAGAAUGUAAUAGUCUCUUAAUUGAGCAUAAAUAAAAACAAAACUUUCAGCAACGGAUCUCUUGGCUCUCGCAUCGAUGAAGAACGCAGCGAAUUGCGAUAAGUAAUGUGAAUUGCAGAAUUCAGUGAAUCAUCGAAUCUUUGAACGCACCUUGCACUCUUUGGUAUUCCGAAGAGUAUGUCUGUUUGAGUGUCAUGAAACUCUCAACCCCCCUAUUUUGUAAUGAGAUGGGUGUGGGCUUGGAUUAUGGUUGUCUGUCGGCGUAAUUGCCGGCUCAACUGAAAUACACGAGCAACCCUAUUGAAAUAAACGGUUUGACUUGGCGUAAUAAUUAUUUCGCUAAGGACGUUUUCUUCAAAUAUAAGAGGUGCUUCUAAUUCGCUUCUAAUAGCAUUUAAGCUUUAGACCUCAAAUCAGUCAGGACUACCCGCUGAACUUAAGCAUAUCAAUAAGCGGAGGA